UACGUAGGGCGCAAGCGUUAUCCGGAAUUAUUGGGCGUAAAGAGCUCGUAGGCGGUUUGUCGCGUCUGCCGUGAAAGUCCGGGGCUCAACUCCGGAUCUGCGGUGGGUACGGGCAGACUAGAGUGAUGUAGGGGAGACUGGAAUUCUCGGUGUAGCGGUGAAAUGCGUAGAUAUCGAGAGGAACACCUGCGGCGAAGGCGGGUUGCUGGGCUGAUACUGACGCUGAGGCGCGAAAGCCAGGGGAGCGAACGGG
RNAcentral lists this ribosomal RNA (253 nucleotides) under uncultured bacterium. RNAcentral's name for it is "partial 16S ribosomal RNA". It matches the Rfam family "Bacterial small subunit ribosomal RNA", at positions 524 to 776 of the family's 1533-position model. The record is from RNAcentral.